UGAAGGGCAGCUGUCGCUACGAGA
This 24-nucleotide non-coding RNA is filed under the name Cricetulus griseus (Chinese hamster). Lineage: Eukaryota; Metazoa; Chordata; Mammalia; Rodentia; Cricetidae. The record is from RNAcentral.